RNAcentral lists this ribosomal RNA (475 nucleotides) under uncultured soil bacterium. RNAcentral's name for it is "bacterial SSU rRNA". It matches the Rfam family "Bacterial small subunit ribosomal RNA", at positions 26 to 513 of the family's 1533-position model. The record is from RNAcentral.
AGGACGAACGCUGGCGGCGUGCUUAACACAUGCAAGUCGAACGAGGCCCAGUCAGUAGCAAUACUGAUGAAGGCCGAGUGGCGAACGGGUGAGUAACACGUGAGAAACCUAUCCUGGUCUCUGGGAUAACAGUCGGAAACAACUGCUAAUACCGGAUGCCGUCGGAGCGCUGCAUGGCGCACUGACGAAAGGGUUACUGGAUCAGGAGGGUCUCGCGGCCUAUCAGCUUGUUGGUGGGGUAAUGGCCUACCAAGGCAUCGACGGGUAGCUGGUCUGAGAGGAUGAUCAGCCACACUGGGACUGAGACACGGCCCAGACUCUACGGAGCAGCAGUGGGAAUCUGCGCAAUGGCGAAAGCCUGACGCAGCAACGCCGACGUGCGGGAAGAACGGCCCUCGGUUAGUAAACCGCUUUCGAAGAAGGAACGAAACGUGACGGUACUUUCGAGAAGAGGUGCGGCAACUACGUGCCAGCA